Molecule: non-coding RNA, 2790 nt
Organism: Microcebus murinus (gray mouse lemur)
Lineage: Eukaryota; Metazoa; Chordata; Mammalia; Primates; Cheirogaleidae
Source: RefSeq, a predicted model, not a curated record
CGCCUCUCAGAAGCUGCAAGAGGGCGGACCAUGCCGUCCGAGGGUCGCUGCUGGGAGACCCUGCAGGCUCUGCGCAGUUCCAACACAGGUCGCCUUUGCUACCACCGCGACUGGCUGCUGCGGGGCGAGGAUGUUUUAGAAGAAUGUAUGACUCUUCCCAAACUAUCUUCUUACUCUGGAUGGGUGGUAGAUCAUGUCCUACCGCAUACACAGGAGAACCCACCACCCUCUGAGACCUCACCAUCUCCUAGGUACACUUCAGCCCUAGACCAAGCCUCAUGUGUUCUCAAAUCUCCUGUCAGAAACUCCGCCUGCUCACCAGCCUCCUCUGCAACACCGAAUGGAACCAAGGACAAACAGGAGUCCCCACAUACAGAAUCUGUGGUACUUCAAUCUUCCCGGGGAUCAAAGUGGAAGGCUGCAUCCGAAUGUACGAACUGGUACACAGAAUGAGAGGAACGGAAGGCCUGCGGCAAUGGCAGGAGGAGCAGGAGAGGAAGGUGCGGGCCCUCUCGGAGAUGGCAUCGGAACAGCUGAAGCGGUUUGAUGAACAGAAGGAACUGAAACAGCAUAAAGAAUUCCAGGACCUGCGGGAGGUGAUGGAGAAGAGCUCCAGAGAAGCCUUGGGGCACCAAGAGAAGCUAAAAGCUGAGCAUCGCCACCGAGCAAAGAUUCUCAACCUGAAGCUGCGGGAGGCUGAGCAGCAGCGCCCGAAGCAAGCAGAGCAGGAGCGGCUGCGGAGGGAAGAAGGCCAGGGCCGCCUGCGCAGCCUGUACGCCCUGUAGGAGGAGGUACCGCAGCUCAGCCAGCAGCUGGACGCCUCUGAGCAGCACAGGGACCUGCUGCAGAUCGACCUGGCGGCGGCCCGCACACGAGGCAACCAGCUGUGCAGCCUCAUCUCAGGGAUCAUUCGGGCCACUUCAGAGAGUGGCUAUCCUACAGCAGAGAACCAAGCUGAGGCUGAGCGAGCUCUGCAGGAAAUCCGGGACCUUCUUACAAACUUGGGGCAGGAGAUCACCAGAGCCUGUGAAGACAAGAAGUGGCAAGAUGAAGAGGAGGCCCAAGUAAAGCUGCAGGAGUCACAGAUGCAGCAGGGACCAGAGGCUCACAAAGAGUCCCCAGCUCCCAGCCAGGGCCCAGGAGGGAAACAGAAUGAAGACCUACAGGUGAAGGUACAAGACAGCACAAUGCAGUGGUACCAGCAGCUGCAGGAUGGUGCCACACAGUGUGUGUUGGCUUUUGAGGGCCUCACCAACAGCAAAGACAAUCAGGCCAAAAAGAUAAAGAUGGAUCUUCAGAAGGCCGCCACCAUCCCAGUGAGCCAAAUCUCCACUAUUGCAGGUUCAAAGCUGAAGGAGAUAUUUGACAAGAUCCACAGCCUGCUCUCUGGAAAAACUGUUCAAUCUGGUGGGCGUGCUGUAUCUGUCACACUUACCCCACAGGGGCUGGAUUUUGUCCAGUACAAACUGGCAGAGAAAUUUGUGAAACAAGGCGAGGAGGAGGUGGCUUCUCAUCACGAGGCAGCGUUCCCCAUCGCGGUUGUGGCAUCUGGUAUCUGGGAUCUCCACCCCAGAGUUGGGGAGCUCAUUCUUGCUCAUCUGCACAAGAAGUGUCCUUACUCUGUCCCUUUCUAUCCAGCUUUCAAGGAGGGAAUGGCUUUGGAAGACUAUCAGAGGAUGCUUGGCUACCAAGUGAAGGAUUCCAAAGUGGAGCAACAGGACAAUUUUCUAAAACGCAUGUCUGGGAUGAUCCGUCUCUAUGCUGCCAUCAUUCAGCUCCGGUGGCCUUAUGGAAACCGACAAGAGGUUCAUCCUCAUGGCUUAAAUCAUGGCUGGCGCUGGUUGGCACAGAUCUUAAACAUGGAGCCCCUGUCAGAUGUUACAGCCACCCUCCUCUUUGACUUCUUGGAGGUGUGUGGGCAUGCCCUCAUGAAGCAGUACCAGGUCCAGUUUUGGAAAAUGAUAAUUCUCAUCAAAGAGGACUACUUCCCCAGAAUUGAAGCCAUCACAAGCACAAGACAGAUGGGUUCCUUCAUACGCCUCAAGCAGUUCUUGGAGAAAUGUUUGCAACGCAAGGAGAUACCUGUCCCCAAGGGCUUUCUGACAUCCUCCUUCUGGCGCUCCUGAUGUCACUCCAUCACCCAUUAUCGCCAUCGUGUUGCAAAGAGGCAAUAAUAAAGCAACUGAAGACGGCUGCAUAUGGGAGAAGUCACAUCAGAUUUAGAAAUGUGCCAAUAUUUAUUUUUAUAUAUUUAUACCCUGUGACUUGGAGAGGAGAUUUUCAUGAGCCACAAAGUCUUGGGGGUCCCUUAGUAGAUUGGGUAGCUCCUUAAGAGGUCACAUGAUAGAGUAAAUGGAAUUGGCCUUUCUUAUUUUUGCAAAAGUAAUGAGAAAAGGUGUUUAGCACCAAGUCUCAUCCUUUAUUCCUUGUGUCUCUAGUAUCUCUCAAAAAGUUGGUAAUACCUCAACCAUUUCACUCUAAACUAGAGUGAGCUCACAGUUUUCACCACCCAUCCACCCCACCCCACCCCUAUCCAGAUGAAUUCCCAGAAAAAGUAAAGACUCAUAAUGUCCCCUCUAAAGUAUCAUUUAGUAGUUGAGGCCAAACCCUUAUGCAAGUCUGGGUUAUGGUUGUUUUGCCUUUCUCAGCUUGUGAAAAUUCUAAAUCCAGAGGAAAUGUGCUGUGAAUGCAUAGGUUAAGCCCCAGAUGGCAUCAGGGAUAGCUUAGUGUCUGAGAUUAGGACUGGAAACACACAUAACAUUGAACUAAGGUGCACUCUUUGUCAUGUUA